Molecule: ribosomal RNA, 474 nt
Filed under: uncultured organism
Description: partial 16S ribosomal RNA
Rfam family: Bacterial small subunit ribosomal RNA
Source: RNAcentral
CACUCCUGCGGGAGGCAGCAGUGGGGAAUUUUGGACAAUGGGCGAAAGCCUGAUCCAGCCAUGCCGCGUGCAGGAUGAAGGCCUUCGGGUUGUAAACUGCUUUUGUACGGAACGAAACGGCCUUUUCUAAUAAAGAGGGCUAAUGACGGUACCGUAAGAAUAAGCACCGGCUAACUACGUGCCAGCAGCCGCGGUAAUACGUAGGGUGCAAGCGUUAAUCGGAAUUACUGGGCGUAAAGCGUGCGCAGGCGGUUAUGUAAGACAGUUGUGAAAUCCCCGGGCUCAGCCUGGGAACUGCAUCUGUGACUGCAUAGCUAGAGUACGGUAGAUGGGGAUGGAAUUCCGCGUGUAGCAGUGAAAUGCGUAGAUAUGCGGAGGAACACCGAUGGCGAAGGCAAUCCCCUGGACCUGUACUGACGCUCAUGCACGAAAGCGUGGGGAGCAAACAGGAUUAGAAACCCCUGUAGUCCCAUG